RNAcentral lists this ribosomal RNA (484 nucleotides) under uncultured bacterium. RNAcentral describes it as "partial 16S ribosomal RNA". It matches the Rfam family "Bacterial small subunit ribosomal RNA", at positions 28 to 523 of the family's 1533-position model. The record is from RNAcentral.
GACGAACGCUGGCGGCGUGCUUAACACAUGCAAGUCGAACGAUGAAAGCUGGAGCUUGCUCCGGCUGGAUUAGUGGCGAACGGGUGAGUAACACGUGAGCAAUCUGCCCUUGACUCUGGGAUAACUCCGAGAAAUCGGUGCUAAUACCGGAUAUGACCCUAGGCGGCAUCGCUGGGGUGGAAAGUUUUUCGGUCAAGGAUGAGCUCGCGGCCUAUCAGCUUGUUGGUGAGGUAAUGGCUCACCAAGGCGACGACGGGUAGCCGGCCUGAGAGGGUGACCGGCCACACUGGGACUGAGACACGGCCCAGACUCCUACGGGAGGCAGCAGUGGGGAAUAUUGCACAAUGGGCGCAAGCCUGAUGCAGCAACGCCGCGUGGGGGAUGACGGCCUUCGGGUUGUAAACCUCUUUUAGCAGGGAAGAAGCGAAAGUGACGGUACCUGCAGAAAAAGCACCGGCUAACUACGUGCCAGCCGCCGCUGUAA